Paramuricea clavata is the source of this 114-nucleotide non-coding RNA. Lineage: Eukaryota; Metazoa; Cnidaria; Anthozoa; Malacalcyonacea; Plexauridae. The record is from the annotation of a GenBank genome assembly.
CUAGGUUAUGGCGACAUCGUUCCGGAGACAUUACCCGGCAAGCUAGUUGGUACAGCAUGUGCGAUAUGUGGCGUUCUAACUAUUGCUCUACCUAUACCUGUCAUUGUGAGUAAU